Long non-coding RNA from Etheostoma spectabile (orangethroat darter), 94 nucleotides. RefSeq lists it as uncharacterized. The transcript is spliced from 3 exons. Lineage: Eukaryota; Metazoa; Chordata; Actinopteri; Perciformes; Percidae. The record is from RefSeq and is a predicted model, not a curated record.
UCUUUUUGUAGUUCGUGAUAUUGACCAAUUACGUUUGAGCGGCCUUUGCUCGCAUGCAGGUAAACAGUCUGUCUGGAGAGCAAAAGAGGUGGAA